RNAcentral lists this ribosomal RNA (505 nucleotides) under uncultured bacterium. RNAcentral describes it as "partial 16S ribosomal RNA". It matches the Rfam family "Bacterial small subunit ribosomal RNA", at positions 28 to 507 of the family's 1533-position model. The record is from RNAcentral.
GACGAACGCUGGCGGCGUGCCUAAUACAUGCAAGUAGAACGCACAGUUUAUACCGUAGCUUGCUACACCAUAGACUGUGAGUUGCGAACGGGUGAGUAACGCGUAGGUAACCUGCCUGGUAGCGGGGGAUAACUAUUGGAAACGAUAGCUAAUACCGCAUCAUAUUAAUUAUUGCAUGAUAAUUAAUUGAAAGGUGCAAUUGCACCACUACCAGAUGGACCUGCGGUGUAUUAGCUAGUAGGUGAGGUAACGGCUCACCUAGGCGACGAUACAUAGCCGACCUGAGAAGGUGAUCGGCCACACUGGGAAUGAGGCACGGCCCAGACUCCUUCGGGGGGCAGCAGGAGGGGAACAUCGGCAAUGGACGAAAGGCUGGACGAGGAAAGCCGGGGGAGUGAAGAAGGGUUUCGGAGUGUAAAGCUCUGUUGUAAGAGAAGAACGGGUGUGAGGGUGGAAAGUUCGCACUGUGACGGUAGCUAACCAGAAAGGGACGGCUAACUACGUG